UACGGGGGGAGCAAGCGUUGUUCGGAUUUACUGGGCGUAAAGGGCGCGUAGGCGGCGUGACAAGUCACUUGUGAAAUCUCCGGGCUUAACUCGGAGCGGCCAAGUGAUACUGUCGUGCUAGAGUGCGGAAGGGGCUACUGGAAUUCUCGGUGUAGCGGUGAAAUGCGUAGAUAUCGAGAGGAACACCUGCGGCGAAGGCGGGUUGCUGGGCUGACACUGACGCUGAGGCGCGAAAGCUAGGGGAGCGAACGGG
RNAcentral lists this ribosomal RNA (253 nucleotides) under uncultured bacterium. RNAcentral's name for it is "partial 16S ribosomal RNA". It matches the Rfam family "Bacterial small subunit ribosomal RNA", at positions 524 to 776 of the family's 1533-position model. The record is from RNAcentral.